GAAACAUUUGAAGUGACUUAGUGGCGGACGGGUGAGUAACGCGUGGGUAACCUGCCCUGUACUGGGGGACAACAGUUGGAAACGGCUGCUAAUACCGCAUAAGCGCACAGCAUCGCAUGGUGCAGUGUGAAAAACUCCGGUGGUACAGGAUGGACCCGCGUCUGAUUAGCUAGUUGGUGGGGUAACGGCCUACCAAGGCGACGAUCAGUAGCCGGCCUGAGAGGGUGAACGGCCACAUUGGGACUGAGACACGGCCCAGACUCCUACGGGAGGCAGCAGUGGGGAAUAUUGCACAAUGGGCGCAAGCCUGAUGCAGCGACGCCGCGUGAGUGAUGAAGUAUUUCGGUAUGUAAAGCUCUAUCAGCAGGGAAGAAAAUGACGGUACCUGACUAAGAAGCACCGGCUAAAUACGUGCCAGCAGCCGCGGUAAUACGUAUGGUGCAAGCGUUAUCCGGAUUUACUGGGUGUAAAGGGAGCGUAGGCGGCAUGGCAAGUCAGAUGUGAAAGCCCGGGGCCCAACCCCGGAACUGCAUUUGAAACUGUCAGGCUAGAGUACCGGAGAGGUAAGCGGAAUUCCUAGUGUAGCGGUGAAAUGCGUAGAUAUUAGGAGGAACACCAGUGGCGAAGGCGGCUUACUGGACGGUAACUGACGCUGAGGCUCGAAAGCGUGGGGAGCAAACAGGAUUAGAUAUCCUGGUAGUCCACGCCGUAAACGAUG
RNAcentral lists this ribosomal RNA (718 nucleotides) under uncultured bacterium. RNAcentral describes it as "bacterial SSU rRNA". It matches the Rfam family "Bacterial small subunit ribosomal RNA", at positions 70 to 811 of the family's 1533-position model. The record is from RNAcentral.